This 71-nucleotide transfer RNA is filed under the name Loxodonta africana (African savanna elephant). It matches the Rfam family "tRNA". Rfam says of the family: Transfer RNA (tRNA) molecules are approximately 80 nucleotides in length. Their secondary structure includes four short double-helical elements and three loops (D, anti-codon, and T loops). The record is from Rfam by way of RNAcentral. Lineage: Eukaryota; Metazoa; Chordata; Mammalia; Proboscidea; Elephantidae.
ACACUGGUGGUUCAGUGGUAGAAUUCUCCCCUUCCACACAGGAGACCUGGGUUCAAUUCCCAGCCACUGCA